GACGAACGCUGGCGGCGUGCUUAGCACAUGCAAGUCGAACGGAAAGGCCCUGCUUUUGUGGGGUGCUCGAGUGGCGAACGGGUGAGUAACACGUGAGUAACCUGCCCUUGACUUUGGGAUAACUUCAGGAAACUGGGGCUAAUACCGGAUAGGAGCUCCUGCUGCAUGGUGGGGGUUGGAAAGUUUCGGCGGUUGGGGAUGGACUCGCGGCUUAUCAGCUUGUUGGUGGGGUAGUGGCUUACCAAGGCUUUGACGGGUAGCCGGCCUGAGAGGGUGACCGGCCACAUUGGGACUGAGAUACGGCCCAGACUCCUACGGGAGGCAGCAGUGGGGAUUAUUGCACAAUGGGCGGAAGCCUGAUGCAGCAACGCCGCGUGCGGGAUGACGGCCUUCGGGUUGUAAACCGCUUUCGCCUGUGACGAAGCGUGAGUGACGGUAAUGGGUAAAGAAGCACCGGCUAACUACGU
This 467-nucleotide ribosomal RNA is filed under the name uncultured bacterium. RNAcentral describes it as "partial 16S ribosomal RNA". It matches the Rfam family "Bacterial small subunit ribosomal RNA", at positions 28 to 506 of the family's 1533-position model. The record is from RNAcentral.